RNAcentral lists this long non-coding RNA (2320 nucleotides) under Salmo salar (Atlantic salmon). RNAcentral describes it as "lncRNA (ENSSSAG00000102784.1)". The record is from RNAcentral. Lineage: Eukaryota; Metazoa; Chordata; Actinopteri; Salmoniformes; Salmonidae.
CGACAUGGUUGUAAAUAGCUACUAGUUCGUUUAUAGUCGGAAAAUAGUGGGAUUUGAACAUGAUAGGCUGCGAAUUCAGUUAUUGGCGAUAAGAAGUGAGCCAUCCUAACAUCGAAUUAUCUGAAUUUCAAACGAUGUAAAAUAGUAAAAGAUGAUUCAGGAUAAUCCUCAGUUAACAUCAGAUAAGCUUUUUCAAUGUCAAUUAAGAGUCUGGGUUUGGGAAGACUGAAGUGGGUCCGCCUGAACACGUUAACUUUUCAUACAGGGAGGAGUGAAUAUGGUGUCAAGGAGCCCUUGAGGCUGCUGUUCCUCCUGACUGGUCAUGAGUUUCUCCUGUUCCUCCUUAAUCAGUGUGUGCUCUUGGGCCUCCUGCACCAGACUCGGGCUCCAGUCCUUAUCACAGUGCUGCUGCUCAGAGGUAACAUUUACAUUUGAGUCAUUUAGCAGACGCUCUUAUCCAGAGAGACUUACAGUAGUGAAUGCAUACAUUUCAUACAUUUUUUUUCUUACAUUUUUUUUUUUUCCAUACUUGUCCCCCGUGGGAAUUGAACCCACAACCCUGGCGUUGCAAACACCAUGCUCUACCAACUGAGCCACACGGGACCACCUCCUCCUCAGAGACAGCGAGAAAGAACUGGAGGGAGCCUAUUCUACACAGUUGUAUCUCUGCUGGGAUCCGCAGCGUCUCCGUAGCCGGUUAUUCUUCUCAUUGGAUCUCCUCAUGCGGUUGGCAAGCUUAGAAAUGGACAAUAGCGACGCCCGCUGGAUGGGGUUCAUAGCUGGAAUAGAUGUAAAACAAAUUGCACCCCUUGGAAAGUGGGUACGCAGACCCGUGAGCAACUGCGGCCACUCAUGAUGAGUUCAGAUUUUUUGUGUUUCUCACCCCCAUCAAAGUUGCCCAUCUCUGCUCUAAAAGGGCACUGAAAGAACUGUCGCUUUCAACUAUUGCUUGUUCAGGACAUUUCUAAUAUAGUUUUAUUUUCUAUGAACUUUAUGAAAUGAAUCCCCCUACCUUUUUCCUAUACAGUAGCCCUACAUGUUCCUUAGAACAGUAUUUAUAUAGAGAGAUGGUCUCUCCAACGUUCUAUCACAGAGAAGGGGCUAGGCAUGGGGACAUGGCAGAGAACCCCUAUUUUCGGAUAGUCGCCUUAUUAGGCCCAUCUGUAUGGAUCCCAAUAGGUUGCCUGAUCAUUUCUCCGAAUGGCCCCUCUCCCUUGACCUGUAAGCAUCUUUGUUGCUUGAUGAGGCAAAGGGUCACUAAUUCACCAAUCUCCUAUCAGGGCAAAAUUUUAGUUCAAGACUGAUAUGGAGAGAGAGAGAGAGGGAAAUGGAGUCCUGCAAACUUAAGGUAUAUACUAUUCUGGUCUUCUUGAGUCACUGCUGUUGGGGAGCCAACAGACUGUUGGGAAGCCCCCCCCCAUCCUUCACCCCCCACUUCUAUUAAAAUAAUCUGUCUGUUUCAGUUAGCUAGUCUCAAAAUGCGGCCAUUCUCCUCUCAGCCAUAAACCUGUCUGUUGGACUCAGUCCAUCUCUCCUUUUUUCCCUCUUCCCUCUCUCUCCACCUUCUCAAAGUGUGGUAAUUAGAUCAUGUGUGGUAAUUCGAUCAUCAAGUCAAUUAUGGAGAGACUCAUUCUUAAGAGUCUAUUUACGCGCCCGCGCAUCAAUCUAAGUAACAUCAAAAUCCGUCAGUUUAAGCUAGAGAUAUCAGGGCUGUGUCUCAAUCCACCACAUCCGCCUAUGUUGACCUUCCGACCUUCCUAUGUUGACCUUGCGGUGUAAGGUCGCUGAGCUGCAACAGUGUUUGUCAGACCAUGAGACCGCGAAAAUCGGUCUUCUCACGAAAACAUCUGUAGCGUCCAUACAGUCCGUAUGAUUUAUUUUCUGACUGUCUUUUUUGCCAUUUAUGAAUGUGUUCUUCAAUGCAUGUAUAUGGGCUAUAGUAGUAAAGGCCAAAUUCAAUGUUUUAUCAAAUAUAAAAAUUGAUACCUAAAGGGGUCCUAAAAUAGUUAAAUGAUCCAUGGUAUGAUCAUCUUAAAACAAAUCCAUGUGUUAGCUUAGUGCCCCCCCUCUCUCUCUCUACAAACUAUUGAAAACAUCAGGUGGUCAUAAGAUUAAAGGAAUGUCCACCUGCUUUGAAAAUCCUCUCUAAGCUCAAGGGGCGAGAGUUCAGCUUUAACUGGUUGAAGACUGGGUGAAAGUGAUAGGGAGGAACCUUAAGAGUAUUACCAAAAAAAUGAAAACAAAAUCUGCCCUUGAUUCAAACAAUAACUGUGCUAUAAAAAGUCAACGGAUUAAUAUUUUUUUUUUUAGCUUUUGCCCC